AUGAACGCUGGCGGCGUGCCUAAUGCAUGCAAGUCGAGCGAACAGAUGAGGAGCUUGCUCCUCUGACGUUAGCGGCGGACGGGUGAGUAACACGUGGAUAACCUACCUAUAAGACUGGGAUAACUUCGGGAAACCGGAGCUAAUACCGGAUAAUAUAUUGAACCGCAUGGUUCAAUAGUGAAAGACGGUUUUGCUGUCACUUAUAGAUGGAUCCGCGCCGCAUUAGCUAGUUGGUAAGGUAACGGCUUACCAAGGCAACGAUGCGUAGCCGACCUGAGAGGGUGAUCGGCCACACUGGAACUGAGACACGGUCCAGACUCCUACGGGAGGCAGCAGUAGGGAAUCUUCCGCAAUGGGCGAAAGCCUGACGGAGCAACGCCGCGUGAGUGAUGAAGGUCUUCGGAUCGUAAAACUCUGUUAUUAGGGAAGAACAAAUGUGUAAGUAACUAUGCACGUCUUGACGGUACCUAAUCAGAAAGCCACGGCUAACUACGUG
RNAcentral lists this ribosomal RNA (496 nucleotides) under uncultured bacterium. RNAcentral describes it as "partial 16S ribosomal RNA". It matches the Rfam family "Bacterial small subunit ribosomal RNA", at positions 29 to 507 of the family's 1533-position model. The record is from RNAcentral.